CGGAGGGUGCAAGCGUUAUCCGGAUUCACUGGGUUUAAAGGGUGCGCAGGUGGGUAAGUAAGUCAGUGGUGAAAUCUCCGGGCUUAACCCGGAAACUGCCAUUGAUACUAUUUGUCUUGAAUACUGUGGAGGUCAGCGGAAUAUGUCAUGUAGCGGUGAAAUGCUUAGAUAUGACAUAGAACACCAAUUGCGAAGGCAGCUGGCUACACAAAUAUUGACACUGAGGCACGAAAGCGUGGGGAUCAAACAGGAUUAGAUACCCUGGUAGUCCACGCCCUAAACUAUGGAUACUCGACAUUUGCGAUAAACUGCAAGUGUCUGAGCGAAAGCAUUAAGUAUCCCACCUGGGAAGUACGAUCGCAAGAUUG
This 368-nucleotide ribosomal RNA is filed under the name uncultured organism. RNAcentral describes it as "bacterial SSU rRNA". It matches the Rfam family "Bacterial small subunit ribosomal RNA", at positions 526 to 896 of the family's 1533-position model. The record is from RNAcentral.